UACGUAGGGGGCUAGCGUUGUCCGGAAUCAUUGGGCGUAAAGAGCGCGUAGGCGGCCAGAUAAGUCCGGUGUGAAAGUCACAGGCUCAACCUGUGAAUGCCGCUGGAAACUGUCUGGCUAGAGUCCGGGAGGGGCGAGUGGAAUUCCUGGUGUAGCGGUGAAAUGCGCAGAUAUCAGGAGGAACACCAAUGGCGAAGGCAGCUCGCUGGGACGGUACUGACGCUGAGACGCGAAAGCGUGGGGAGCAAACAGG
Molecule: ribosomal RNA, 253 nt
Filed under: uncultured bacterium
Lineage: Bacteria
Description: partial 16S ribosomal RNA
Rfam family: Bacterial small subunit ribosomal RNA
Source: RNAcentral